CCCUUAGAUGUCCGGGGCUGCACGCGCGCUACACUGAAGGAAUCAGCGUGCUAAAACCAUUGUCGAAAGGCAUUGGUAAACCCAUUAAAAUCCUACGUGAUUGGGAUCGGGAAUUGCAAUUAUUUCCCUUGAACGAGGAAUUCCCAGUAAGUGGGGGUCAUAAGCUCGCGUUGAUUACGUCCCUGCCCUUUGUACACACCGCCCGUCGCUGCCCGGGACUGAGCCGUUUCGAGAAAAGCGGGGACUGCUGCUGUCGGGGCUUUCGGGCCUUGGCUUCGGUGGAAACCGCUUUAAUCGCAGUGGCUUGAACCGGGCAAAAGUCGUAACA
RNAcentral lists this ribosomal RNA (328 nucleotides) under uncultured eukaryote. RNAcentral describes it as "partial 18S ribosomal RNA". It matches the Rfam family "Eukaryotic small subunit ribosomal RNA", at positions 1470 to 1796 of the family's 1831-position model. The record is from RNAcentral.